GCCCUUCGGUUGAUCCUGCCGGAGGCCAUUGCUAUCGGAAUCCGAUUUAGCCAUGCUAGUCGCACGGGUCAGACCCGUGGCGGACAGCUCAGUAACACGUGGCCAAACUACCCUGUGGACGGGGAUACUCUCGGGAAACUGAGGCUAAUCCCCGAUAGGGCUUCCAUCCUGGAGUGGAGGAAGUCCGAAAGUCGCGCUGCGACACCACAGGAUGUGGCUGCGGCCGAUUAGGUAGACGGUGGGGUAACGGCCCACCGUGCCAGUAAUCGGUACGGGUGAUGAGAGUCAGAGCCCGGAGACGGUAUCUGAGACAAGAUACCGGGCCCUACGGGGCGCAGCAGGCGCGAAACCUUUACACUGCACGACAGUGCGAUAGGGGGAUUCCGAGUGCGAGGGCAUACAGUCCUCGCUUUUCUUGACCGUAAGGAGGUCCAGGAACAAGGGCUGGGCAAGACCGGUGCCAGCCGCCGCGGUAAUACCGGCAGCCCGAGUGAUGGCCGAUAUUAUUGGGCCUAAAGCGUCCGUAGCCGGCCGGACAAGUCCGUUGGGAAAUCCACGCGCUCAACGCGUGGACGUCCAGCGGAAACUGUCCGGCUUGGGGCCGGAGGACUCGAGGGGUACGUCCGGGGUAGGAGUGAAAUCCCGUAAUCCUGGACGGACCACCGGUGGCGAAAGCGCCUCGAGAGGACGGACCCGACGGUGAGGGACGAAAGCCAGGGUCUCGAACCGGAUUAGAUACCCGGGUAGUCCUGGCCGUAAACGAUGUCUGCUAGGUGUGGCGCAGGCUACGAGCCUGCGCUGUGCCGCA
RNAcentral lists this ribosomal RNA (808 nucleotides) under uncultured archaeon. RNAcentral describes it as "bacterial SSU rRNA". It matches the Rfam family "Archaeal small subunit ribosomal RNA", at positions 1 to 805 of the family's 1478-position model. The record is from RNAcentral.